RNAcentral lists this ribosomal RNA (502 nucleotides) under Ruegeria sp. RNAcentral's name for it is "bacterial SSU rRNA". It matches the Rfam family "Bacterial small subunit ribosomal RNA", at positions 385 to 905 of the family's 1533-position model. The record is from RNAcentral. Lineage: Bacteria; Pseudomonadati; Pseudomonadota; Alphaproteobacteria; Rhodobacterales; Roseobacteraceae.
GAUCCAGCCAUGCCGCGUGAGUGAUGAAGGCCCUAGGGUCGUAAAGCUCUUUCGCCUGUGAAGAUAAUGACUGUAGCAGGUAAAGAAACCCCGGCUAACUCCGUGCCAGCAGCCGCGGUAAUACGGAGGGGGUUAGCGUUGUUCGGAAUUACUGGGCGUAAAGCGCGCGUAGGCGGACUGGAAAGUUGGGGGUGAAAUCCCAGGGCUCAACCCUGGAACUGCCUCCAAAACUAUCAGUCUAGAGUUCGAGAGAGGUGAGUGGAAUUCCGAGUGUAGAGGUGAAAUUCGUAGAUAUUCGGAGGAACACCAGUGGCGAAGGCGGCUCACUGGCUCGAUACUGACGCUGAGGUGCGAAAGUGUGGGGAGCAAACAGGAUUAGAUACCCUGGUAGUCCACACCGUAAACGAUGAAUGCCAGUCGUCGGGUAGCAUGCUAUUCGGUGACACACCUAACGGAUUAAGCAUUCCGCCUGGGGAGUACGGUCGCAAGAUUAAAACUCAAA